UACAAGUUCUGAAACUGACAUUGCUUCAGCCAACAUGUGUGUGUUUGUUGGAUUGCAUUCUCAUCCUAGUAGCAGUUCGAUCUGUUUUGUCGAUGAACAUGCAUGCGAGGCUGCAGCAUGGUUAAUGGUGUCGUGGCAGCACUUCACAAUUAAUUAACUACGCUGAGAAACAUUGCAUCUCUUCUCGUCGUGCCCACAUGCUGUGGAACCACCGGCCUGCUCGAGCCGCCUUCACACAGUGCCAACCCCGUGAGAGAAAACUAUGGCUCCGAACUUCCUUCAAUCAUAAUAUGAUUCUUCACAAGAUCAUGAAAUAUUUAUGUCCCCCUGGUUCUUCAUUGGCCAAUUUGUCAAAUUAGGAGUUGAUAUAAACAUCAAUAUGCUCAAGAUUACAAAGAGAUUGCCCAUCUAGGAAAGAAAAGGUGGAUGCCAAAGUGAACAGUCGUGUGAUGUAUGCAGCUGGGAAGCUAAAACGUUUGUAUUGCCAAGAUAAAAUGGAUAAUGCAUGGCUUGGAGGCUGAUUGCAAGGAUGAGAAUGAGGCUACAACUGGAUAAUUAUAAUGUCAUUUUCAGGAUGAUGUUUGAAACGUUAUAGUUGAUUGCAAGGUCCAGAGUUUGGCUACUACUUGAUAGUUUCACAUCUUGUAAUCUCUGGAUCGUGUUCUUUGUAAUGCAACAUAGUUGAUCUAAUAUAUGAGACCUUCUUGU
Aegilops tauschii subsp. strangulata is the source of this 708-nucleotide long non-coding RNA. RefSeq lists it as uncharacterized. NCBI's taxonomy places the organism in Eukaryota, Viridiplantae, Streptophyta, Magnoliopsida, Poales, Poaceae. The record is from RefSeq and is a predicted model, not a curated record.